UACCCAUGUCUUUUGAGUACUUACGUUUCCUCGGCGGGUCCGCCCGCCGAUUGGACAAUUUAAACCAUUUGCAGUUGCAAUCAGCGUCUGAAAAACUUUAAUAGUUACAACUUUCAACAACGGAUCUCUUGGUUCUGGCAUCGAUGAAGAACGCAGCGAAAUGCGAUAAGUAGUGUGAAUUGCAGAAUUCAGUGAAUCAUCGAAUCUUUGAACGCACAUUGCGCCCCUUGGUAUUCCAUGGGGCAUGCCUGUUCGAGCGUCAUUUGUACCUUCAAGCUUUGCUUGGUGUUGGGUGUUUGUCUCGCCUUUGCGUGUAGACUCGCCUUAAAACAAUUGGCAGCCGGCGUAUUGAUUUCGGAGCGCAGUACAUCUCGCGCUUUGCACUCAUAACGACGACGUCCAAAAGUACAUUUUUACACUCUUGACCUCGGAUCAGGUAGGGAUACCCGCUGGACUUAAGCAUACCAAUAAGCGGAGGAAAAGAAACCAACAGGGAUUGCCCCAGUAACG
Molecule: ribosomal RNA, 510 nt
Filed under: uncultured fungus
Lineage: Eukaryota; Fungi
Description: eukaryotic LSU rRNA
Rfam family: 5.8S ribosomal RNA (bases 109-262)
Source: RNAcentral